This 467-nucleotide ribosomal RNA is filed under the name uncultured bacterium. Its description in RNAcentral is "partial 16S ribosomal RNA". It matches the Rfam family "Bacterial small subunit ribosomal RNA", at positions 29 to 507 of the family's 1533-position model. The record is from RNAcentral.
ACGCACGCUGGCGGCGUGCUUAACACAUGCCAGUCGAACGGAAAGGCCCUGCUUUUGUGGGGUGCUCGCGUGGCGAACGGGUGAGUAACACGUGAGUCACCUGCCCUUGACUUUGGGAUAACUUCAGGAAACUGGGGCUAAUACCGGAUAGGAGCUCCUGCUGCAUGGUGGGGGUUGGAAAGUUUCGGCGGUUGGGGAUGGACUCGCGGCUUAUCAGCUUGUUGGUGGGGUAGUGGCUUACCAAGGCUUUGACGGGUAGCCGGCCUGAGAGGGUGACCGGCCACAUUGGGACUGAGAUACGGCCCAGAGUCCUACGGGAGGCAGCAGUGGGGAAUAUUGCACAAUGGGCGGAAGCCUGAUGCAGCAACGCCGCGUGCGGGAUGACGGCCUUCGGGUUGUAAACCGCUUUCGCCUGUGACGAAGCGUGAGUGACGGUAAUGGGUAAAGAAGCACCGGCUAACUACGUG